Molecule: ribosomal RNA, 158 nt
Filed under: Coniophora puteana
Lineage: Eukaryota; Fungi; Basidiomycota; Agaricomycetes; Boletales; Coniophoraceae
Description: 5.8S ribosomal RNA
Rfam family: 5.8S ribosomal RNA
About the family: 5.8S ribosomal RNA (5.8S rRNA) is a component of the large subunit of the eukaryotic ribosome.
Source: RNAcentral
UAUAACUUUCAGCAACGGAUCUCUUGGCUCUCGCAUCGAUGAAGAACGCAGCGAAUUGCGAUAUGUAAUGUGAAUUGCAGAUUUUCAGUGAAUCAUCGAAUCUUUGAACGCACCUUGCGCACCUUGGUAUUCCGAGGAGCAUGCCUGUUUGAGUGUCA